This 1433-nucleotide ribosomal RNA is filed under the name uncultured organism. RNAcentral describes it as "SSU rRNA". It matches the Rfam family "Bacterial small subunit ribosomal RNA". The record is from RNAcentral.
UGAUGAACGCUAGCUACAGGCUUAACACAUGCAAGUCGAGGGGCAGCAUUUUAGUUUGCUUGCAAACUGAAGAUGGCGACCGGCGCACGGGUGAGUAACACGUAUCCAACCUGCCGAUAACUCCGGAAUAGCCUUUCGAAAGAAAGAUUAAUACCGGAUAGCAUACGAAUAUCGCAUGAUAUUUUUAUUAAAGAAUUUCGGUUAUCGAUGGGGAUGCGUUCCAUUAGUUUGUUGGCGGGGUAACGGCCCACCAAGACAACGAUGGAUAGGGGUUCUGAGAGGAAGGUCCCCCACAUUGGAACUGAGACACGGUCCAAACUCCUACGGGAGGCAGCAGUGAGGAAUAUUGGUCAAUGGGCGAGAGCCUGAACCAGCCAAGUAGCGUGAAGGAUGAAGGCUCUAUGGGUCGUAAACUUCUUUUAUAUGGGAAUAAAGUUUUCCACGUGUGGAAUUUUGUAUGUACCAUAUGAAUAAGGAUCGGCUAACUCCGUGCCAGCAGCCGCGGUAAUACGGAGGAUCCGAGCGUUAUCCGGAUUUAUUGGGUUUAAAGGGAGCGUAGGUGGAUUGUUAAGUCAGUUGUGAAAGUUUGCGGCUCAACCGUAAAAUUGCAGUUGAAACUGGCAGUCUUGAGUACAGUAGAGGUGGGCGGAAUUCGUGGUGUAGCGGUGAAAUGCUUAGAUAUCACGAAGAACUCCGAUUGCGAAGGCAGCUCACUAGACUGUCACUGACACUGAUGCUCGAAAGUGUGGGUAUCAAACAGGAUUAGAUACCCUGGUAGUCCACACAGUAAACGAUGAAUACUCGCUGUUUGCGAUAUACAGUAAGCGGCCAAGCGAAAGCAUUAAGUAUUCCACCUGGGGAGUACGCCGGCAACGGUGAAACUCAAAGGAAUUGACGGGGGCCCGCACAAGCGGAGGAACAUGUGGUUUAAUUCGAUGAUACGCGAGGAACCUUACCCGGGCUUAAAUUGCAACAGAAUAUAUUGGAAACAGUAUAGCCGUAAGGCUGUUGUGAAGGUGCUGCAUGGUUGUCGUCAGCUCGUGCCGUGAGGUGUCGGCUUAAGUGCCAUAACGAGCGCAACCCUUAUCUUUAGUUACUAACAGGUGAUGCUGAGGACUCUAGAGAGACUGCCGUCGUAAGAUGUGAGGAAGGUGGGGAUGACGUCAAAUCAGCACGGCCCUUACGUCCGGGGCUACACACGUGUUACAAUGGGGGGUACAGAAGGCGGCUACCUGGUGACAGGAUGCUAAUCCCAAAAACCUCUCUCAGUUCGGAUCGAAGUCUGCAACCCGACUUCGUGAAGCUGGAUUCGCUAGUAAUCGCGCAUCAGCCAUGGCGCGGUGAAUACGUUCCCGGGCCUUGUACACACCGCCCGUCAAGCCAUGAAAGCCGGGGGUACCUGAAGUACGUAACCGCAAGGAGCGUCCUAGGGU